Molecule: ribosomal RNA, 442 nt
Filed under: uncultured bacterium
Lineage: Bacteria
Description: partial 16S ribosomal RNA
Rfam family: Bacterial small subunit ribosomal RNA
Source: RNAcentral
GAUGAACGCUGGCGGCGUGCCUUAUACAUGCAAGUCGAGUGGGUUUAGACCCACGGCUAACGGGUGAGUAACACGUAGGUCCUUUCCUUGUCACAGGCAUAACCCUCCGAAAGGAGGGCUAAUACCUGAUGUGAUCGCACGAUUAAAGGGUAUCCGCAAGGAUUACCUGACAAGAAGAGGCCUGCGGGCUAUCAGCUAGUUGGCGGGGUGAAUGCCCACCAAGGCUAUGACGGGUAGCUGGUCUUAUGGGGAUGAACAGGCACAUGGGCACUGAGACACGGGGCCGAGUGCUACGGGAGGCAAUAGUAGGGAAUUUUGAGCAAUGGGGGCAAGUCUGGCGCAGCGGCCCCGCGGGCGGGAAACAGGCCUUGCGGUCGUAAAACGCUUUUAUCAGGGACGGAGUUUGAAAGUACCUUAAGAAUAAGAGGUUGCUAACUCUGUG